AACGAACGCUGGCGGCAUGCCUAACACAUGCAAGUCGAACGAGACCUUCGGGUCUAGUGGCGCACGGGUGCGUAACGCGUGGGAACCUGCCCUUAGGUUCGGAAUAACUCCCCGAAAGGGGUGCUAAUACCGGAUAAUGUCUUCGGACCAAAGAUUUAUCGCCUUUGGAUGGGCCCGCGUUGGAUUAGCUAGUUGGUAGGGUAAAAGCCUACCAAGGCGACGAUCCAUAGCUGGUCUGAGAGGAUGAGCAGCCACACUGGGACUGAGACACGGCCCAGACUCCUACGGGAGGCAGCAGUGGGGAAUAUAGGAAAAUGGGCGAAGGCAUGAACCAGCAAGGCCGCGUGAGUGAUGAAGGCCGUAGGGUUGUAAAGCUCUUUUACACGGGAGGAUAAUGACAGUACCGGGAGAAUAAGCUCCGGCUAACUACGUG
Molecule: ribosomal RNA, 433 nt
Filed under: uncultured bacterium
Lineage: Bacteria
Description: partial 16S ribosomal RNA
Rfam family: Bacterial small subunit ribosomal RNA
Source: RNAcentral